UACGUAGGUGGCAAGCGUUGUCCGGAAUUAUUGGACGUAAAGCGCGCGCAGGCGGUCCUUUAAGUCUGAUGUGAAAGCCAACGGCUCAACCGUGGAGGGUCAUUGGAAACUGGGGGACUUGAGUACAGAAGAGAAGAGUGGAAUUCCACGUGUAGCGGUGAAAUGCGUAGAGAUGUGGAGGAACACCAGUGGCGAAGGCGACUCUUUGGUCUGUAACUGACGCUGAGGCGCGAAAGCGUGGGGAGCAAACAGG
Molecule: ribosomal RNA, 253 nt
Filed under: uncultured bacterium
Lineage: Bacteria
Description: partial 16S ribosomal RNA
Rfam family: Bacterial small subunit ribosomal RNA
Source: RNAcentral